Molecule: ribosomal RNA, 446 nt
Filed under: uncultured bacterium
Lineage: Bacteria
Description: partial 16S ribosomal RNA
Rfam family: Bacterial small subunit ribosomal RNA
Source: RNAcentral
CCUACGGGGUGCAGCAGUCGAGAAUCAUUCACAAUGGGGGAAACACUGAUGGUGCGACGCCGCGUGGGGGAAUGAAGGUCUUCGGAUUGUAAACCUCUGUCAUGUGGGAGCAAAUUCUAAAGAUCGUACCACAAGAGGAAGAGACGGCUAACUCUGUGCCAGCAGCUGCGGUAAUACAGAGGUCUUAAGCGUUGUUCGGAAUCAAUGGUCGUAAAGCGUGCGUAGGCUGUUUCGUAAGUCGUGUGUGAAAGGCGCGGGCUCAACCCGCGGACGGCAGGUGAAACUGGGAGACUAGAGUAAUGGAGAAGGAAGCGGAAUGCGCGGUGUAGCAGUGAAAUGCGUAGAUAUCGAGAGGAACACUCGUGGCGAAGGCGGGUUCCUGGACAUUAACUGACGCUGAGGCACGAAGGCCAGGGGAGCGAAAGGGAUUAGAUACCCGGGUAGUC